RNAcentral lists this ribosomal RNA (374 nucleotides) under uncultured bacterium. RNAcentral describes it as "bacterial SSU rRNA". It matches the Rfam family "Bacterial small subunit ribosomal RNA", at positions 434 to 793 of the family's 1533-position model. The record is from RNAcentral.
CAGCAGUGAGGAAGGUGGAGUCGUUAAUAGCGGCCUCAUUUGACGUUAGCUGCAGAAGAAGCACCGGCUAACUCCGUGCCAGCAGCCGCGGUAAUACGGAGGGUGCGAGCGUUAAUCGGAAUUACUGGGCGUAAAGCGCAUGCAGGUGGUUUGUUAAGUUCAGAUGUGAAAGACCCGGGGCGUCAACCUCGGAAAUUGCAUUUGUAAACUAGGCAGACUAGAGUACUGUAGAGGGGGGUAGGAAGUUUCAGGUGUAGCGGUGAAAUAGCGUAGAGAUCUGAAGGAAUACCGGUGGCGAAGGCGGCCCCCUCGGACAGAUACUGACACUCAGAUGCGAAAGCGUGGGGAGCAAACAGGAUUAGAUACCCUGGUAG